AACGCACCUUGCGCUCCUUGGUAUUCCGAGGAGCAUGCCUGUUUGAGUAUCAUGAAAUCAUCAACCCCCGCCUUCUUUGUUGAAGGUCGGAGGCUUGGAGUUGGGGGGAUUACUGCCGGUCGCGUCAAGCGGUCGGCUCCCCUUGAAUGCAUUAGCUGGGCGCCACGGUACGGCGGUUCACGGUGUGAUAGAUUAUCUACACCCACGGGACCUCGAACCGGUCGAGCUUCUAACCGUCCCCCUCGUCGGGACAACCCCUUUGAAAUCCGAUCUCAAAUCAGGUAGGACUACCCGCUGAACUUAA
This 304-nucleotide unclassified non-coding RNA is filed under the name uncultured fungus. RNAcentral's name for it is "partial contains 5.8S ribosomal RNA, internal transcribed spacer 2, and large subunit ribosomal RNA". The record is from RNAcentral. Lineage: Eukaryota; Fungi.